This is a long non-coding RNA of Carya illinoinensis, 550 nucleotides long. RefSeq lists it as uncharacterized. The record is from RefSeq and is a predicted model, not a curated record. The transcript is spliced from 3 exons. Lineage: Eukaryota; Viridiplantae; Streptophyta; Magnoliopsida; Fagales; Juglandaceae.
UUUUCAUUUAGAGUGGAAGGUUUUCUACCGUGGACAAUAUUUAUUUAUUUGAGAAAAGAAAUUAUUAUUAGUUGGAAAACCCAAAAGAAGAGGAUAAACUAAUGAAGAACGGGGUUGCUUGCUUAACACGAGUUUCAAAGUUUGCCGGAAAACGAUUCUCUGGGGUGUCCUGCUUACCCAGAAACCAAACGGCUUAAGGGGAGCACUCUAUGGACUUUGUGGAAGUUCUUUAUCAUACGUAUUUGUUACAAAAGAAGGUUACUUACCAAACAGCAAGCAUUACGUUUCCCUUCACAUUUGAGGGAAUAAAGAUUCAAGUGUACAUGUAACCCGGAUUAAGGGUUGGUGGCAUAUUAGGCCGAUAUUGACCGCAACAAACGUGCACUCCAAGCGUUGUCCGCACUCUGCUCAGCUUCUAGCAAUUCAUGGUACAAUGAGAUGACCUUUGUGAUCGAACCCCCAUAUGACCAGUCAAGCCAUCGUCAAUUAAAGUCAACCGAUCUUAAUUGUUUCUUUCGGUAAACAAGUCAUAGCGAUCAGCUAUAUCUCA